CAGAGGCGCGAGCGUUGUCCGGAAUCACUGGGCGUAAAGGGCGCGUAGGUGGCGGCAUAAGGCCGCGGUGAAAGUUCGGGCUCAACCCUGGAAUCGGCCGCGGCGACUGUGUCGCUUGGGCACUGUAGAGGCAGAUGGAAUUCCGGGUGUAGCGGUGGAAUGCGUAGAGAUCCGGAAGAACACCGGUGGCGAAGGCGGUCUGCUGGGCAGUGGAGUCGCAAGGCUCCGUAGCCGACACUGAGCGCGACAGCGUGGGAGCAAACAGGAUU
Molecule: ribosomal RNA, 269 nt
Filed under: uncultured bacterium
Lineage: Bacteria
Description: partial 16S ribosomal RNA
Rfam family: Bacterial small subunit ribosomal RNA
Source: RNAcentral